GAUGGACAGAUGCCUGAGGCAA
This 22-nucleotide non-coding RNA is filed under the name Mus musculus (house mouse). The record is from RNAcentral. Lineage: Eukaryota; Metazoa; Chordata; Mammalia; Rodentia; Muridae.